AUGGCGGUUGGACUAACAUCCCAGCUGUUCCAAGGAGUCACUGCUACCAACAGAUUCGGCCAAACCCACAAUUUUUGUGGAGUACGACGAAUAGCUGGUGUGGAGAUGCGACGUUUUCCCUCAUCCACUUCGUUUCCUUCACUUGCUUAUGGGCAAGAUUCCUUGGUGCAUAACUCGUCCGGGAGGAACUACAUGCCCAUGCUUUAUGUGCCUUAUAGAUAUCGGGCCUUGCGUGUUAGAUCUUUUGCCUUGCCAGUUGCUUUGAAGGAAAUUCCUUUGGUGAAGAGUGCGUCAUUAGUAUUGAAUAGGUCAUGCGACACUUUACUUGCAAAUCCAGCUACUGCACUCGUGGUACCUGCAAUUGGAAUAAUUGUAUUUGCUCUAUGGGGUUUUUUGCCUCUAGUGAAGGACAUCAGAAACCGUUUUGAUCAUGGAGGUAACUGGAAAAAGAGCCCUACAUACCUAAUUUCUAGUUCCUACCUUCAACCUUUACUCCUUUGGACAGGGGCAACACUUAUCUGCAGGGGUUUGGAUCCAGUCGUGUUGCCUUCAGCAGCAAGCCAAGCUGUUAAAACACGCCUUUUGACAUUUGUGAGAUCCUUAUCGACCGUCCUGGCUACUGCAUAUAUUAUGACAAGCUUGAUUCAGCAGGUACAGAAAUUUCUAGUGGACAUACGAAGCCCCAGUGAUACACGAGCUAUGGGGUUGGAUUUUACCAUGAGAGCUGUUUAUACUGGUAUCUGGAUUGCUGCUGUUUCUCUCUUUAUGGAGUUGCUGGGUUUCAAUACCCAGAAGUGGAUAACUGCUGGAGGUUUUGGGACAGUAUUGCUUACGCUUGCUGGUCGUGAGAUUUUUACGAAUUUCCUCUCAAGUGUUAUGAUCAAUGCCACCCGCCCAUUUGUAGUGAGUGAAUGGAUCAAUGCAAAGAUAGAUGGUGUUGAGGUAUCUGGUAUUGUUGAGCAUGUCGGCUUGUGGUCACCAACAAUCAUUCGAGGCGAUGACAGAGAAGCUAUAUACAUCCCUAAUCAUAAGUUCACAAUGUCUAUAUUGAGGAAUAACACGCGGAGAAACCAUUGGCGUAUUAAGACAUAUCUUGCUAUAAGCCACAUGGAUGCUGGAAAAAUUGGUAUAAUUGUUGCAGACAUGAGGAAAGUGUUGGCCAAGAAUCAUCAUAUAGAACAACAGAAGCUGCAUAGGAGAGUAUUCUUUGAAAAAAUUGAUCCAAAAACUCAAGCUCUUAUGAUAUACAUAUCCUGCUUUGUGAAGACAUCGCAUUUUGAAGAGUAUCUAAAUGUCCAGGAAGCUGUUAUGUUGGAUCUUCUUACGAUAGUUGGGCACCACAGGGCAAGGCUUGCUACACAGAUCCGAACAGUUCAGAAAUCAUAUGGCAACGCAGACAUUGACAACAUUCCUUUUGGAGAGGAUACAUAUAGUCCUCGUGCACGUGGCCGUCCGCUCCUGAUCGAUACUUCUGCAAGGAUCAGUGACGACAAGAAACCUCCUCGACCGGCAGUAGCACGCGAGGAUCAGAAAGCAAAGGUGGCAAGUGUAUCAGCGGUAGAGGCGAAGUCAGAUGCACCUGACGGUUCUAGUUUAAACAACUCGGAGAAGCAGGAAGAGAAAAAGUUGGUUCCAGAUGAUGCUGGGUUGAAGAAGGAUCAUGUGAAAACAACUAUACCAUCUCCCACAACUCCAUGGGCAGAUCCUGUUGCGUCUACUACUUCCAAGACCGAUGAAGGGAAGGCCCAAGGAUCAGAAGGACAAGGAGAUGGUUCUUCAGUUGCUACACCAAAGAAGGAAUCUAGUAGACCUGCCUUUGAAGACAACAUUGUUCUUGGUGUAGCUCUCGAGGGCUCGAAGAGGACACUCCCAAUCGACGAAGGGAUGAACCCUCAUCUAUCGCUAUCUGAACCUGAGCAGGACACUGGUUCGUCGCCUAAGAAGAAGGGUCAAAGCUACUCACUUUCAGGCCAAGAGAAGGCGGACUAG
This 1989-nucleotide ribosomal RNA is filed under the name Triticum aestivum (bread wheat). Its description in RNAcentral is "partial small subunit ribosomal RNA". The record is from RNAcentral. Lineage: Eukaryota; Viridiplantae; Streptophyta; Magnoliopsida; Poales; Poaceae.